AGUGGCACGUUCUCGGCUCACUGCAACCUCUGCCUCCCAGGUUCAAGUGAUUCUCCUGCCUCAGCCUCCCGAGUAGCACAUGCUCCCAUGCCUGGCUAAUUUUUUGUAUUUUUAGCAGAGAUGGGGUUUCACCGUGGUAGCCAGGAUGGCCUCAAUCUCUUGACCUCAUGAUCCACCCGCCUCAGCCUCCCAAAGUGUUGGGAUUACAGGCGUCAGCCACCGCGCCCGGCAGGUCUUCAUGAUUCUUGUUUGGAUAACCAUACCGCUCAUCAUCCACGCUGGUGCAGUAGUGAUUUUCUCGGAAAUACCCACCGGACUCAGUCCCUGAAUAUUCUCUUUCUUUUCUUUUCCCCUUUCCCCCUUUUUGACAGAGUCGCACUCUAUCACCCAGGCUGGAGUGCAGUGGAGCAGUCUCAGCUCACUACAACAUCUGUCUCCUGGGUUCAAGCGGAUUUUCCUGCCUCGGCCUCCCAGGUAGUAGGGAUUACUGCCACCAAGCCUGGCUAAUUUUUGUGUUUUUAGUAUAGAUGGGGAUUCACCACACUGGCCAGGCUGGUCUCAAACUCCUGAUCUCAGGUAAUCCACCUGCGUCGGCCUCCCAAAGUGCUGGGAUUAUAGGCUCGAGCCACUGUGCCUGGCCAAGUCCCUGCAAGUCCCUGAAUAUUCUUCAUUGGCUUCCUUUGGCCUACUGUACAAGUCCACAGUCCUCAGCAAGGCAUCAAGCCCUUUACGACCUGAUUUCAACCUAGCUCUCCAACCUCAUCUCUUGCGGCUCUACUCCCUUGCCUCCCCUCCUACCUGAAACUCCCCUCUAUCUUCAAAAAGUAGUCAAUCAUGUCUCCUUUGAUGAUGUCCCAGCAGAGGUAGCUAUGGUGCUAUGGUUUGAAUGUAACUCUCAAAGUUUAUGUGUUGGAAAAUUAAUUGCUGUUGUAAUAAUAUCAAGAGGUGGGCUUUUAAGAGAUGAUUAGGCCACAAAGGGUUGACUCUCAUGAAGGGAUUAAUGUAGUUAUUGCAGGAGUGGGUUGGUUACCAUGGGAGUGGGUUUCUGAUAAAAAGAGUGAGUUCGGCCCAUUUUGUCUGUCUUGCAUGUUCACUUGGUCUUCAGCCAUGUUAUAACACAACAAGAAGGCCCUCACCAGAUGCAGCCCAUUGGACUUCUCAGCCUCCAAAAUGGGGUGUCCAAGCUUGUAGGUGCAUCACUGGUGAGGCAGCUGCAGGCACUACCGGACCAUGGGAGGAGCAGCUUCUGGGCUACAGCUCUUUGGAUUGUACGUGUGACAACUGGGCAGGAGAAACCAUUAAUGAUCAUGAAGUGGAAGUCCAUGAUGAGGAUGGUAAACCAUAAGGUGGAAGGAGUCUGAGACCCUGAACAAAAAAAGAGAUUGAAGAGUGAAAGAUCAAGAGGGAAUGAUUCCUUGGGAGCAGCAGUUGACAAAGCAAAUUACAGAAUAUACUCAGUGAGAAUCAGAUGAAACACGGGAGAUAAAAGGCUCCGGACCAAGAGGUCCCAGCGAAGCAUUAAGAGGAGAAAGGCUGCAACCAGGAAGUCCACACACUUACAGCUGCUUCCAGGACCCGGUGCUCACCCAGUAACAAAGCCACCUCUGUCUGGGAAAACCACAGCAAGGCGAGGCAGGGAGCAGAAAGCCUUUAAUUGGGGUGGCCAACAAGCGGCCCUGUGAACUCCAAAUGCCUCCAGCAGGCUGGGGCACGCUUUUUCUUUCCUUUCCUCUGUGCCCACCCAUUGAUGGCCUCGCUCUCCAGGGCUUCUCAACAGGCAUUGUUGGUCUUUUGGCUUCUCCCCUGCUCUGGGUCCCGAGCCAUCUUUAUGCCUUUUUGCUGUUCUGCCUUGAGCAUGCUAUAGGCCUGUGUCCUGUGUUCUCAGCUCACCCUCUCUCCAUCAAGAUGUUUCUAUCCAGGUUUCACCUUCUCAGACCUUGCCAGGUGACUGGGCAUCUAAUCUAAUAAUCCAGUAAUAAAAUCCGUGGUAACUAAAGGCUGAUAACCAAAUAUGUUAACCCUUUCUAUGAACAUUUCCAGUUUGGUAGUGGCCUGUGGACCUUCAACUCAGGAAUUAUUUAUCUGGGAAAGCUGGGCAGUCAGUGUCCAGAGAUUAGGGACUUUUGGAUUGGACAAUCCCUGGCUCCCCUGAAAUUGCUUGAUGAAAAAACCUUCUGAGCAUAAUUGAGCCAGCGUCAAGGUCCCCAGUUAAAGCUUUUUGGUAUUGAUCCAGCCCCACAUUGAUCUCAUC
This is a long non-coding RNA of Callithrix jacchus (white-tufted-ear marmoset), 2251 nucleotides long. RefSeq lists it as uncharacterized. Lineage: Eukaryota; Metazoa; Chordata; Mammalia; Primates; Cebidae. The record is from RefSeq and is a predicted model, not a curated record.